Amphimedon queenslandica is the source of this 431-nucleotide long non-coding RNA. RefSeq lists it as uncharacterized. Lineage: Eukaryota; Metazoa; Porifera; Demospongiae; Haplosclerida; Niphatidae. The transcript is spliced from 2 exons. The record is from RefSeq and is a predicted model, not a curated record.
AUUUCAGGACGAGCUAGCAAAUCAUGAACGUGGAGAGCUGGUGUAUGGUAGAAUGCAACUCUAACCAACAGUGGACAAGAGCAGAAAGGAAGCACGUCAAGGAUCCAUUCAAGAGCAGUGCAUUCAACUUUACAAAAGAGUCAGUCUUUGAAGACAGAGUAGCAUCGAUGAAUUUUUCUGGACCAAAAGACUUGGACAUGUACAAGAAAAGAAAACACUUUCCACAGAAAUAUUAUACAAAUUUAAAAUGAUUCUCAUGAUUGAUGAGACUCCCAUUCAUUCCCUGGACAUUCUCUCAGUAACUCUUCUUCACCUACAAGAGAGUACACAAUAAAAUGCACAACAUUAGUACACUACUUACUAGCAUACUCUGAACCACAGUAGAGGCAAUAGAAAUAAUGGCUACGAAGAUAAUUUAUUAAUACUUGCAA